RNAcentral lists this ribosomal RNA (350 nucleotides) under uncultured bacterium. RNAcentral's name for it is "bacterial SSU rRNA". It matches the Rfam family "Bacterial small subunit ribosomal RNA", at positions 169 to 507 of the family's 1533-position model. The record is from RNAcentral.
CCAAAUGUGUUCACUCCUUCUAAGGGGAGUGAGGAAGGAAGCUUCGGCCUCCGCAUUGAGAUGGGCCCGCGGCCCAUUAGCUUGUUGGUGAGGUAACGGCUCACCAAGGCUUCGAUGGGUAGCUGGUCUGAGAGGACGAUCAGCCACACUGGGACUGAGACACGGCCCAGACUCCUACGGGAGGCAGCAGUGGGGAAUCUUGCACAAUGCGCGAAAGCGUGAUGCAGCAACGCCGCGUGGGGAAGACGGCCUUCGGGUUGUAAACCCCUUUCAGUUGGGACGAAGACUUCGUCGGUGAAUAGCCGGUUGGAGUGACGGUACCUUCAGAAGAAGCCCCGGCUAACUACGUG